CCUAAAGAUGUGGAGACCAGA
RNAcentral lists this non-coding RNA (21 nucleotides) under Rattus norvegicus (Norway rat). Lineage: Eukaryota; Metazoa; Chordata; Mammalia; Rodentia; Muridae. The record is from RNAcentral.